Molecule: ribosomal RNA, 393 nt
Filed under: uncultured Helicobacter sp.
Lineage: Bacteria; Pseudomonadati; Campylobacterota; Epsilonproteobacteria; Campylobacterales; Helicobacteraceae
Description: bacterial SSU rRNA
Rfam family: Bacterial small subunit ribosomal RNA
Source: RNAcentral
UGGGAGAGGUAGGUGGAAUUCUUGGUGUAGGGGUAAAAUCCGUAGAGAUCAAGAGGAAUACUCAUUGCGAAGGCGACCUGCUGGAACAUUACUGACGCUGAUGCGCGAAAGCGUGGGGAGCAAACAGGAUUAGAUACCCUGGUAGUCCACGCCCUAAACGAUGAAUGCUAGUUGUUGCCCUGCUUGUCAGGGCAGUAAUGCAGCUAACGCAUUAAGCAUUCCGCCUGGGGAGUACGGUCGCAAGAUUAAAACUCAAAGGAAUAGACGGGGACCCGCACAAGCGGUGGAGCAUGUGGUUUAAUUCGAAGAUACGCGAAGAACCUUACCUAGGCUUGACAUUGAUAGAAUCCGCUAGAGAUAGUGGAGUGCUGGCUUGCCAGAGCUUGAAAACAG